This is a non-coding RNA of Ixodes scapularis (black-legged tick), 82 nucleotides long. Lineage: Eukaryota; Metazoa; Arthropoda; Arachnida; Ixodida; Ixodidae. The record is from Rfam.
GCAGUCGUGGCCGAGUGGUUAAGGCGAUGAACGAGAAAUCCAUUGGGGUCUUCCCGCACAGGUUCGAAUCCUGUCGACUGCG